This 279-nucleotide long non-coding RNA is filed under the name Salmo salar (Atlantic salmon). Its description in RNAcentral is "lncRNA (ENSSSAG00000096559.1)". Lineage: Eukaryota; Metazoa; Chordata; Actinopteri; Salmoniformes; Salmonidae. The record is from RNAcentral.
GAUUAAGGUUAUUAUUUUUAUUUGUUUGUUGUGGUAGAAUUAAGUAUUUUGUUUUCGUAUCGAAAUUACCCUGUUUUUGGCGGGGAUGGCAGCCCGAAUGGGGAUGCCGUCCCUGUCACUUCGGCACGGCUUUAGGUGUGUUACUGAAGCUACUGUCACGGUGGAGGAGUUUCUGGUCGCCGUAGGAGAGAAGGACCUGAGCCCUAGGACCAUGCCUCAGGACUACCUGGUAUGAUGACUCCUUGCUGUCCCCAGUCCACCUGGCCGUGCUGCUGCUCC